Non-coding RNA from Tetranychus urticae (two-spotted spider mite), 760 nucleotides. The record is from RefSeq and is a predicted model, not a curated record. NCBI's taxonomy places the organism in Eukaryota, Metazoa, Arthropoda, Arachnida, Trombidiformes, Tetranychidae.
AGUGAUUUUCUUGAUAAAAUUUCUAGUUAAUAGACUUUUUUGUUAACAUCCAUGUGGCCAUUGUCUUGUUCAUUUUUCACACUCCACAUUGAAAGGACAUCAAUCAAGGAAUGGUUUGUAAAAGGAACAAAAACAUCAUAUCAACCAUAUCAAUUCUUUUUUUCACGUCCAAUUAUUAUUAUGAUUUUUAUUAAGGAACAUUCUUUCAAAGGCUAACCAUGGAGUAAUUUAAUACCAGAGGAGGCUGAGAACAAAAGGAAGCAAAGCAAGACAAACUGAGUAAAGUCAUAAGGAAGUUAUGAGGAAUCUUAACCUUAAAUGGAUAAAGACACAUCAACUGAACAGAGAAACAAGUAAUCAACUAAUCAACCAACCAGUCAGCCAAACAAGUGAAAGAAAUGGAGGAAAAUUAGUCAAAAGUAGUGGAAAAAUAGUUUAGUUAACAAUUAUUGUAUGAAAAUCAGUGUAACAACAAAAUUUGGGUUUAUCUUGAUGAAUGUUUAAACACAAAAAGGCAUAAAAAAAUCUGAUGAAGUCAAGUCAAAUCUGGUUUCACCAUUUUAAGAUCAAAGAUCAUGCUGAGCAUUUAACCUUACAAUUUUUUUUCUUCAUAUUUAGCUUAACCCUUUCAAUUUACAUUCAUCUAUUUUUGCUCAUCAGAUCUUGUCAUCAUCAUCAUCAUUACAUAUUAUCAACAGUCAACCUUCAUUUACAAACGUUUCUUUCAAAUCUAUUACAGAUUGUCUUACAGCAAAGUCAA